CCGAAGGGACAUCUCAGAUUCUGUGCAUGGAGUCCAGUUCGCUGGAAAAGCGCUCCCUCUGGCAGUCAAAACUGAUUUAAAGGAUGCUGGCGUGCAACCUGGAAGAGGCUUGGAUUUCAGCUCCAGUCUCCAAGGGAAAUUUAUUGUCCUUUGACAGCUGAGGCUCAGCAAAUCCCUGGCGCUGAAGGCACCCCGGGGAGCUGUCGCCGCUGCCCUGCCCACCUGUAUGCUGUCCCCUUAAGGCCCCCCCAGAAGUGAGAAGAACCAUCAGCUGUGCAUCGCCCAUCCCACACCUCCUCCCUCUGAUAAUUAUGCCAGCAGGGGUUGGCCCGGUCCCAUUUAUGAAUGGUGGUAUUUGGAGGGGGGUCGGUAACUGCGAAUCACCGAUUCAUUUGAGUGAAGCAAACCGUCCAGGAAUCUUUGGACUGGAUUUCACCUCUUGACUAAAUGGAGCUCACUGAAUUACGUGGUAGACGGUGCUGCACUUAUUAGGAUGAUCGUGGCUGAACCCACAUCAGGGCACAUUUUCCUAAAUACGAGUACACGUAUACGGUCAAUAAAAAUGUUUGAAAUUAGUGCUAUAGAAAAUUUGGCAGGGGUGGUUUCAUGAU
This is a long non-coding RNA of Eptesicus fuscus (big brown bat), 611 nucleotides long. RefSeq lists it as uncharacterized. The transcript has 3 exons. NCBI's taxonomy places the organism in Eukaryota, Metazoa, Chordata, Mammalia, Chiroptera, Vespertilionidae. The record is from RefSeq and is a predicted model, not a curated record.